UACGUAGGGUGCGAGCGUUAAUCGGAAUUACUGGGCGUAAAGCGUGCGCAGGCGGUUUUGUAAGCCAGAUGUGAAAUCCCCGGGCUUAACCUGGGAAUGGCAUUUGGGACUGCAAGGCUGGAGUUUGGCAGAGGAGACUGGAAUUCCCGGUGUAGCAGUGAAAUGCGUAGAUAUCGGAAAGAACACCAACGGCGAAAGCACUCUGCUGGGCCGACACUGACACUGAGAGACGAAAGCUAGGGGAGCGAAUGGG
This 253-nucleotide ribosomal RNA is filed under the name uncultured bacterium. RNAcentral describes it as "partial 16S ribosomal RNA". It matches the Rfam family "Bacterial small subunit ribosomal RNA", at positions 524 to 776 of the family's 1533-position model. The record is from RNAcentral.